This 460-nucleotide ribosomal RNA is filed under the name uncultured bacterium. Its description in RNAcentral is "partial 16S ribosomal RNA". It matches the Rfam family "Bacterial small subunit ribosomal RNA", at positions 338 to 795 of the family's 1533-position model. The record is from RNAcentral.
CCUACGGGGCGCAGCAGUGAGGAAUAUUGGUCAAUGGACGAGAGUCUGAACCAGCCAAGUAGCGUGAAGGAUGACUGCCCUAUGGGUUGUAAACUUCUUUUAUAUGGGAAUAAAAUGUUCCACGUGUGGGAUUUUGUAUGUACCAUAUGAAUAAGGAUCGGCUAACUCCGUGCCAGCAGCCGCGGUAAUACGGAGGAUCCGAGCGUUAUCCGGAUUUAUUGGGUUUAAAGGGAGCGUAGGUGGAUUGUUAAGUCAGUUGUGAAAGUUUGCGGCUCAACCGGAAAAUUGCAGUUGAAACUGGCAGUCUUGAGUACAGUAGAGGUGGGCGGAAUUCGUGGUGUAGCGGUGAAAUGCUUAGAUAUCACGAAGAACUCCGAUUGCGAAGGCAGUUCACUGGACUGCAACUGACACUGAGGCUCGAAAGUGUGGGUAUCAAACAGGAUUAGAUACCCCUGUAGUC